RNAcentral lists this ribosomal RNA (463 nucleotides) under Peptostreptococcus stomatis. RNAcentral describes it as "bacterial SSU rRNA". It matches the Rfam family "Bacterial small subunit ribosomal RNA", at positions 28 to 458 of the family's 1533-position model. Lineage: Bacteria; Bacillati; Bacillota; Clostridia; Peptostreptococcales; Peptostreptococcaceae. The record is from RNAcentral.
GAUGAACGCUGGCGGCGUGCCUAACACAUGCAAGUCGAGCGAGGGUUUGCUCAGUAUUGAGUAUUCUAAAACUAGAAUGUUCAAUUCUGAGCAAAACCAAGCGGCGGACGGGUGAGUAACGCGUGGGUAACCUGCCCUAUACACAUGGAUAACAUACUGAAAAGUUUACUAAUACAUGAUAAUAUAUAUUUGCGGCAUCGCAGAUAUAUCAAAGUGUUAGCGGUAUAGGAUGGACCCGCGUCUGAUUAGCUAGUUGGUGAGAUAACUGCCCACCAAGGCGACGAUCAGUAGCCGACCUGAGAGGGUGAUCGGCCACAUUGGAACUGAGACACGGUCCAAACUCCUACGGGAGGCAGCAGUGGGGAAUAUUGCACAAUGGGCGAAAGCCUGAUGCAGCAACGCCGCGUGAACGAUGAAGGUCUUCGGAUCGUAAAGUUCUGUUGCAGGGGAAGAUGAUGACGGU